Molecule: long non-coding RNA, 11001 nt
Filed under: Coffea arabica (coffee)
Lineage: Eukaryota; Viridiplantae; Streptophyta; Magnoliopsida; Gentianales; Rubiaceae
Description: long non-coding RNA (CARA_LNC006944)
Source: RNAcentral
UUUUUUUUUUUUUUUUUUAAGUUCAAAAAUAGGGUAUAUUGAAUUUUGGAUUCUAUCAGUAAUCAUCUGAUCUGCAUUUUACUGAUGGUUCUCAAUUCAUUUUAAAUGAUAUGAAACAAUUUUGUUUCAUUACGACAUAUAGCUAGUUUAAUUUUCAAAAAAGUAUUCUUCCAGGAUUGUCAACAAGAAUUCAGAAAAUGAAAAUAGCUUAAAAUCUUUGCACAAGUUCGUUGUGUUUUCUUUUCAAAAGAACUUUGUGGGAUCGCUCUUCAGAAAGUGCUUGAGCACAAAAAACAGAACAAAAUAAGAAAGGGCGAAAGCCAUUGCUCUACUUCUCUUGGUGGACAAGAUUGUUCCUACUUGUUCAUACUAAAGUCUCUUUCACUUUUUACUACGACACCUUCAAAAAUGCCGUCAGAUCUAAAGUUGGGAGAAAAAAGUCGCGGAUCAACUGGUCCUGGAAGACUGAAGGAAAGAGUAAAGGGUCCAGGGGGGCAUUGUUGCUGAAACUUCAUUCCAUAGACUCGAGAAUUCCUCGAAACAGUUCUUGCACCAGUUGUUGUCACCCCUCGCACAUGAACAUUUCCAUCGUGUUCGACCUCACAGAUAAAUUCACCUGCAGUGAAACCAUUCUCAAUGUCAAAUUUGACAAGUAUUUGUGUUCCUAGUUUUUAACGCAUGGAGUAUUUGAAUAACAACAAUUAGUGCAGACGGAUGUAACUAAGUUGGACAUUGGCACAAGCAAGAUGUGGAAAAUAAAGAGGCAGAGCUAUUUAUACCAGGAUCUUUCUUUACUCCAGGUAGGGCGACACAAAAGUAAUAUGCUGACUUGCUAACACCAAUAUCUACAGCUCCUACGGGUGGCCCAAUUCCUCCUCUAUUUGCUGCUCCAUUCAAGAUGACACGCAAAUCUGAGCUACGUUCUUGCAUAUUGGGAAUGGGAAGAAGGGGCAUCAUACAAGGUCCAUACAGUGAAUUGUUUGUUUGUAACAUGGAUGUCUGAGGAUCACAAAGAAGCUGGUUCUGCAGAUCAUAUUGGAAGUUCAUUGAUGCAUCAUGAUUUUCAGGUUCAUCAGAAUCCCGAGUGCUAGGGACUGCAGUAAGAGGUGAACGAUCACAACAGUGGCUCUUUUUCGCAUCAUCCUGAGAUGUUCUUGAAGAACUAUCAUGGUCAUCAUUAACUUCAUUCGCAAAUCUUUCCCUGCUGCUGCUUUUCCAAACUAUUCUCUUAACCUUCAUCUCUGGAUGUAAGUUAUUCAUUCUGAUUUUAAAGUAUCUCCAAUGGAAGUAUAAUUAUGCGCCCUCAAAGUUUAUCUAUAAUAAGAUUGUCAAUACAACAUCAUAAGGGCAAAUAAACAAAAAUAGGAAGAAGAAGAAGAUUAAGGAAAAGUUAAGCUCAUUGUAUACUAGUUUCUUUGCAUGUAUCAAUUAGAUGGCCAUGUCAAGUAGGGUGUGUUUGUUAGUCAUCUUACUUUGCAUCAAUAGUUGAAAAGCAAUUAGUUAAAUCCCACCAGUAUCAAAAACUAAUCAUAAUUGUUCCACGGGAUAAUCAGAACCUUCCUUAAGAUGGGUUCACAAGACAAUAUUUUUCCACAUUAAAACUUGGGUGUGAAAAACUACUACUGCUUUUUCAUAUUCUGUAAGUCCUUGGAUCAUAGUGUCCUCACUUACAGUUAACAAAACUCCAAUAUCUAAUCAAUUCACUUACCCAUUCUAGAAGUAGUUGUCUAGUUCAAUCAAUAAAGAAACACAUGUAGCCACCAAAAUCACAAGUCUAAUCAUCAUCGUCAAGUUCUAAAGAUAAGCAAGUGCCAGAUACAAGCACAUACUGGAUUUAGGGUGGGAAACAUUGGAGCAAUGCGAGGUAAUAUACUAAUAUAAUAAUAAAGUGAAGAAUAAAUGAAUUAAUUGAACACAUUCACUGCAAACAUAAGCAGUUUAAAUAUUAUUAUGAAACACAGAAACAGAAUCUGUGUCCUGCAUGCCGCCAUUCAGUCGACCACCCGAGGAAUUACAGAUUCGGAAGCACAAAUAUAUGGAUAAUUUGCAGCAAGUGGUCAUGACUACCAAGUAAAACUAGUAGCCAAAUAAAAAGCCCACAACACGUAUGCACCAUUCAAACAAUAAAAGACUUUGAUCCUGCACCAUGCAUUAUCAAGCACUAACGCUACUUACUUUUUCCCCAAAUGCCACCAAGAACUAAGGCCCUGUUUGGUUCCAAGAAACCAGUGAGGAAAUGGAAAGUGAAUUCCUUGUAGAAACCUACUCCUUUCUCUUGUUUGGUAAACAAAGGAAAGUAGUAGGGAAAUGGAAAAGAAUUCCACGGAAAGUAAUUCUUUUUCUGAAUCAUGGAUUUUGUGAAAAAAAUGGGAUAGGAAAACAUGAAAAGAUAAAGAGAACUCAUCUUAAAUCAAUCAUAAUCAAUUUUGAUGAAGCUGAACUUUGAUGAAUGAUGAUUCUCACUCUUAAAAUUGCCUAACAAUUGUAUUGUAUUUUAAUUUACUUUAAGUAUAGUGGACAACCAUGGUUAGGUUCUAAAUGGUGGACAACAUUGACAAUUCAAUUGAUUAUGUAAACAAUUCUAUAGUGAGUAAGCUGGUAAGAGAAUUGCAUUGUUACAAAACUAAGUUCAAAAGCAAGCUUGAAUCAUCAAACUCCAUAAAAUUGAAACAAGUAAUGUAUUAAUAAAACUGAAAAAUAACCAACAUGUUAACCCAAAGAAUUCAAAAGAAAUAAAAAGUUGCAAAAUUCACCAAAAUUUAGCUCUCUUUAUUCCAAAAAAAGGCCUAAUAAUCUGAAAUUACAUCAAAAUCCACUACCUCAUAAAUUUAUGGUAAAAUAUCAACUGAGUUAUGGUUUCUUUGCUUUUUGGAGAAACAAAAGAAUGAAAAGUAACCUUUGUAGUUGCAACUGCUGCAUAUAAGGCAGUUUAUUUGAACUAUUUCAUAGUUAAAAGGUUGAAAAUAGAUAAAGGGUACAACCUUUCUAUGCAUAAUAGUAAUGCUUUUUAUUACUGAAUCAUUUGCUAUUACAGAGCUAUAACCAUAUCCUAGUCGACAGCAGCAAGGCCACAAAAGAAAUUUUUCAAUACAUUGGCUGCUCAAUUAUGCCUCCAACAUUUACACUUCGGAGGCUCUAUCUGCGAGUAAUACAUCUUCUUAGCGCAUUCGAUUACAUUAGGACAGAGGAUUCUACUAAGGGAAGAGAACCAUGUCCUUCAAUAUGACUCCGUCACAUACCUAUCUUCUUGGAACACUGCAUUCACAUUCAAUUUUUUGCACAUGCUCUAGAAACUUGUCAUUGGCAUCUGAUCAACAAUAGCAUGUACAACCACAUUUUAACAAAGAAAUCUCAUUUUGCAGUAACAUUGCUGAAUUUUUGUCGAAACUCAAACGUCUUACCGUUGCCAUGGUCGAAAUUACAUAAAAUGAGAUUGAGGCAAAGCAAAUUCAAGAGUCCGCUGGACAAAAUACAACCAUAGAUAACUUAUAGAAAUCCAACCUGCAAUACCCUUAAAAACGAUAAAUAAUUGUCAGUUUGGUUAUUUAACAUCACAAACAUCUCAAGUUUAUGGAUGUCAUGAGUUAGUUAGAAGUUUCAAGAAUUUCACAUAUCUUUCCAUGUAGAUUACACAAUGUGAUGUCACAUCACAUAUGGUUGGUUCUUAUAUCUGGACUAAACUGAUGAAGUUAAGUUCUUUUCUGUAUCUUAGUCAUAAUGACAAAUAUCUUCCUAAGGCUAAACUGCUAAUUUAAUAAUAUUCUAAAAGGAUUCUGAUCAUCCCCGUUUUACUCCCGAUGGUCAUGUAGGAUUAAGAAUCUUAAACUUGCUUGCAUGGUUGUAAAUCAGAAAAUUCAAAGAAUAUAUCAAUUAAAUGUUGGUAAGAUCAAGAUUAGCUGUGACUUUAGUGCUUAAUGAAGGUAACUUAAGUUAGCUUGAGCAGAUACAGAACAAGUCAAAAUUCAUCUCCUUAUACAACCAAUGCAUGUAUGAUUAAUAGACAUAAAAAUCUAUGCAGACCCAUAUACAAAUUUCUAAGGCCAUGAAUCAGGAAUACUAUACAUAUCAACCUACAUUACAGGUAUAACCACGAAAAUCAUCACCAUCAAACGGUUUGAGAGAUUGAACAGCUUGGAAUGGUACUAACAUAGUCUACUCACAACACCAAAGCGAAAAAAAAAAAUCAGUUUACCUGAAUACAAAACAAUAAUAAGUAUAAAUCUCUUGAAUGAACAGGAAAAAACCAAUUCCUAUGCCCAUGGAAACAGAAGAAAAGCAACAGAAUUUAGAAAAAGGACCCCCGAGGGGAGGGGGGUAGGGAACUGAAAGUCUCCAAGGGAGCAAACCUAUGCCAAAAAAGAGCAAUUCGUUUUUAUUUUGCACUUCCCCUGAGCCUUCUAUCGUCCUUUCUCUAAAAUUGGCAACGCCGACUGCCGGAAACCACGUUGGAGAAGGAAAUCUAGUGGCUAGAGAGGAGAAAAAAUUGUUUGAGAGAGGCUAGGGUUCGAUUGCAAAGGGGAGACGUUUUUUAAUUUGACCCGAUUUCUCUUAUUACCCGGUAGGAUCCACAUUUGGCCCAGUCCUUCGAUAUUUUUACCCAAAUAGAGUCCGCAUAUUGACCCGGUUCUCAGUGAUUUCCUUCAUUUCCUCCCAUUCUCGUAAGGAAACAUUUGUUAAAACUUAGAAUGUAUUAUACAUUUAAACUUUAUUUAAAAAUAUUUUUAAGCCAAAACAAUUUUCUAGAAAUUCUUUUAUAUUUAAAAAAAACUUGCUAGGAAUACUUAUCAAAGAUUAACACAUUUUUUAAAUCAUUUCUUGAAGAAUUGAUUAUCUUUUACAUAAAAAUAAUCGUGCUUUUAAAUGAUUUUGUAUUGCUAAAUUAUUUGUAAAUGAGUUCACCUAACGACGAAAUAUCAUGAAAUAUUUUUAAACGAUAAGCAAAAAUAUGAAAAUUUUAAAAAUAAAAAAAGUGAAUCAUCUUUUAAUUUAUUUCUAUUGCUUAAAAUCGUAUUAUCAUUUAGUAUAAAAUUUUUCCUUGUAAAUAUUCAAUACAUAGAUCCCAAAUUAACAUAUAUAACCAAUGUUUUUUAAUCCUUUUAUUUCAUUUUCCAACUAACCUAGAAUAGAGUAAUAUUGAAGCAAGUUUGAAAUAAUUUUACCAAUUAAUUGAGAAAAACAACCCGAAAACAAAACCAGAAAUUGUCACACUCCAGAAGGGUCAAGUUCUUGGUUCAAGGGCCUAUAAAAGCUUACAAUUCCCUCCAUUCCAUAUUAUCAAUUCAAAUGAGUACGCAAUAUGCAAAAAACAGCAACAUUUCUCCAAAAUCCAUCAGAAACUACGAGGUUUUCUGAAGUUGGAACCCAAAACAAACGUCAAAAUCACGAGAAAGAAAUCCUCUUUGAGACGGAAACUAAAUACUUGAGGCAAAGUUCUGGUUUUGGCCAUCCAAACAUCACCAAGAACCCAUCGUCAAAGUGGUCUUCUUUGAUCAAACACUGCAUCUUUCAAGGGAAAACAAAACAAGCCCUUUUGAUCUAUAACCGAAAUCGUGGAGUAGGAAACAUUAUCCUGGGUGCAAUCCCUUUAGCCCUCAAGGCUUGUGCUUCAUUAUCUAUGAUUAGCCUUGGCCAAGCUUUACAUGCUGAAUCUAUUAAAGGAGGGGUAGAAGGUGAUGUAAUGGUAGGGACUUCUUUGGUGGAUAUGUAUGGCAAAUGUCGCAAAAUAAGUUAUUCGCGUAAAAUGUUCGAUAAUAUGCCUGAGAGAAAUGUUACUACCUGGAAUGCAAUGAUAGGAGGGUACAUGAAAGUUGGAGACUUGAAAUCUGGAAUAUUCUUGUUUGAAGAAAUGGCAUUAAGGACCUCAGUGACUUGGAAUCAAAUGAUUGAUGGGCUAGCGAAAAAUGGAAAUAUGGCGAUGGCUAGGCAGUUUUUUGAUAGGGUGCCAGAAGAGUUGAGAACUGUGGUAACAUGGACUGUAAUGGUUGAUGGGUAUGCUAGCGGUGGAGAGAUGGAGGCGGCUACUGAAAUUUUCGAGAUGAUGCCAAAGAGGAAUUUUUAUGUUUGGUCAUCGAUGAUUUCAGGCUAUUUUAAGAAGGGCAAGGUUGAAGAAGCAAAGGCAAUCUUUGAUAGGAUGCAGUUAAGAAAUUUAGUGAAUUGGAAUUCAUUGAUAUCUGGAUAUGCACAGAAUGGACUGUGUGACGAAGCAUUGGAUGCAUUUACAAGGAUGCAAAGUGAGGGGUUUGAACCAGAUGAGUUUACUUUGGUGAGUGUAUUAUCAGCUUGUGCUCAGUUGGGUAUCUUGGAUGUUGGCAAGAAAGUGCAUGAAAUGGCGAUCCAGAAAGGGGUGGUCCAAUUGAAUAACUUUGUUCUUAAUGGAUUGGUUGACAUGUAUGCAAAAUGUGGGGAUCUAAUAAAUGCUAGAUUGCUCUUUGAGGAGAUGCCAUGCAAAACUACGGCAACUUGGAAUGCUCUGAUUUUGGGUUUUGCAGUCCACGGACAAUGUAAGGAAGCUAUUAAGCUUUUUGGCAGAAUGGAUAGCAGGGGUGAGAAGCCUGACAAUAUAACCUUUCUUGCUGUUCUAUCUGCGUGUGCGCAUGGGGGAUUUGUUGAAAAAGGUUUAGAAAUUUUCUCCAAGAUGGAGAAAUAUGGAGUGACAGCGAGCAUCAAGCAUUAUGGGUGUAUAGUUGACCUCUUGGGCCGUGCAGGGAGAAUACAAGAGGCCUAUAAACUAAUCAAGGAGAUGCCCUUAAAACCAAAUGAGACGAUUUUGGGAGCUCUACUUGGAGCAUGUCGAACUCAUGGAGACACAGAUAUGGCAGAGCGCAUGCUGGAGGAGGUAGACGGAUUAAAAUGUGGCUCUGCCGUGGAUGACCCUGUUCACUAUGUUCUGCUCUCAAGUAUCUAUGCAGCUUCUGAGAAAUGGGAGCAAGCUGAAGGAAUGAGGGUGGCUUUAUUUAAUAAAGGUUCUAAAAAAGCAGCAGGCUGUAGCACCGUGAUGCUUGAAAGCACGGAAAGUAGUUUUAUUCCGCCUCUAAAGACCAGUUGACAUCUUUAACCAAAUCAAACGAGUGGACCAGAGUAGAUACUGGCCUUGCUAGUUUUUUAAUCAAUGAUGAGGACUUGAGCAGUUCAGAGAAUGACUUUGAGAGUACCAACUGCAUACAAUCCAUUAUAUAGAAAUACAUUAUUGAAACACCAAUUUAAUGCAAUUAGAGGUUCUGCCUAUGCCUCUAUAUUGUGUAGUCUAACUUUUUAAAUGAUUUUUCAACCUAAAUGGGAGAAAGCUGAAUGUAUGAGGGUGGCUGUAUCAAAUAAAGGUUUUCCUAAGGCAGGUUGCAGCGCUGUAAUUUCUAAGUCAUGGAAACUAGUGUUAAUCCGGGCUUGCAACAUACACAGAUGAGCGGUCAAGUGAAACAGCAGCACCAAUUGUAGAUUUCGUAAAUUAUUGUCAUUCAUGCCGUUUUUGAACAUAUGGCCUUAUCUCCCUUGCACUUCAGUGAGAAUCGGGGCAAAACACUAAAAAUUGUACUCUUCUAACUUUUAUAUAUUAAUGCUGCAAAAUUAGAGGUUAUGCCUCCGUAUUGUGUAUAUCACAAGCUAGAUUCUUGUAAAUCAUUCUCUAUCCAGUUGAUCCGCUUCCUUUCUUCUUUCUGGUCAUCAGAAUACUGGAGUUCUGCCUCUUUACACACGAAUAAUUUCCAAUCAUAUGACUCUAAAAGAUUCAGCUAUCGUUUUCAAAUCCUUGUAGUGUCUCUUCCAUUGAAGUCCUGUAGAAUGAGAAUAACACAUUAUAUCCCAUGGUUGUGGGUGAUAAGAUCUGGCAUGAAGUGCCAAUAGCAAUACUUAAUUUCAUACCACUUCCAGUGACAUUGAACAAGUAAAGGCGAUUUCCUGCUGCAGUAGCCGUGAUAAAAAUGUGAGGUGGUUCUAACUCAAACUGGUAGUAUUUUCUUCCCGAGUGUUCUGCUACUUGAGCGCUCAACACCUUCCCUUCGACGUUCUCACCAAUCACUUCCGGCCCAAAAGCCCCAAUCACUUUAUCUGGUUCUCCAAUUUCUUCAAUUUUUGCAUCAUCACUGAUAUCUAUACACCCAAAAACAACCAACACUUGCAUCAGCAAUCAAGCUGAUUUAACAGCUUAUCAUGUGAAUGAGCCAUUGUUUCAGAAAUCUUCACAAUUGUCUGCCUAUUGCUUGUAUGACCCUUCUGUUAGCUUAUUAUAUUGCAACAACAUCCAAGAAAUUGCACCAGCUUCAGAAUUAUAAAGAAGAAAGGAGGUGGAGGGCAGGGAUGGGAGGGAAACUCACUGUCCGCAAAUCUUCUAACAGGAGCAACAAUUACAAAGAGACGUCCUUCUUGGGAGUUGGCAAAUCUCAAAUCAAUUUCUGUGCCUCCUAGAUCUGCAAUGGACACAGGAACCUGUAUACAAGAUAAGCUGUGGUAAAAAGAAGACUGUUCUAAAGAGUAAAGAAGUAUUGGAGAUCAUACAAGAUAGCAGAAAGCCGCUCAAACGAUGAAAAAUAUAUGCUUUGGCUUCAGAAAUUGGAGUUCAAAGAUGAAAACGUAGAGAUAUUUAUGAAUGCUCCUCUGUUGAAGAGUUUAUGCUUACCUCUUCCCAGCCAUCAGGCACAGAAAAGGCAUAGGGGAUGAUAGGACUCCAUCCCACACCAUGCCCUCCUGACUUGUCAUCCGGCCUUCGAUAAGUUCUCCAACCUGCCUGAGAAAUUGUUCUACAUAGUGAAGGAGUACGUAUUCACAUUGGACGAAGCUAUAGAAUUUGAAGCACCCAAGAAUCUUUCACGUUAUCAAUUUUAAGGAAUACUGCAUGUAUAUACGUUGUCUACCAAUUUUGAACAACAGAAAGAAAAUGCAAUUUCUUCAAUCCAUGUUAGAACAAUUUAAGCAUUUUGCUUCAUAAGAUUGAUUAUGCUUCCUUUUCAGUCUAAAAAGAUCUUGAGGACGAUAACCAGCAUGCUUCUUUUGCUUUAUUCUAAAUAAUGUUCUUGAAAGUGGGAUUACCAGUACAAACGAUGAAUCUAACCUUGCUCAUUUGGUUCUGAAAGGCCAGGCACCCUUCCUGCCAGAAGACCUUGUUUUACAACUGCCAAUCCCACUCCAGGAAAUCCAAAUGCUGUUGUAGCUAAAGACAUGGCAGAAGCCAUUGCUGACCUCCUACUGACCGCCUGUAUCAGCCUCUCACUUUCUUCAUUCACAGUUUCCCUUUCUGUUGAACCUGCCCCAGCUUUAACAAUUGAACCCCCUUUCUCUGAUGCAGAAUUAGCAACGAAAUGUUUAGAUGCAACAAUCUGUUGAUUGUUUGUCCCAGCAAGACAACAACUAGUGUAUGAUAUUGUAAUCAUUUUUCACUCGACCGAAAAAUAGAGUGGUGGCAGAGGGAAAUGAAGAAGAAGAGAAAUGAAAGUUCAACAAUGGAAACUAAGAAACUAGUUACUCCUCUUCUUGGUUGCUUCUGUCCAGAAAUGAAGCUCAGACGAUUGAUUGAUUGACCUUAUUCUCCUAGUACCUCUAAAUUAUUCAAGGGGCAAACUGUAGAAGAUGAGAUGCUGUAGUUACUUGUAGUUUUCCUGUGGCUGUGGUAUUUUUUGAGAUUUCUUUCCCCCUAGUAGUUGCAUUCUGGUGUAUCAUCCACCACGUGUAACUCGGAUGUUACAAUUGCUAAAUAUCAAGGAGCCCAAAAUUUCUUGUCUUGUUUGGCAGCAAAUAAUAUCAAAACAGCUACUAGUAUAAUCCCCUUGUCACGUAUUGAUACCAGUCAAGAACCAUGGAUUCACUAAAAACAGUUCCUGAUGUAUUAAUUCCUUUGUCCCGUAACAAUACUAGUUAAGGACCAUGGAUUCAAUUACUCCUAUAUGUUAUGACUUAAACUUGUACCUGUAUCAGUAUUGCUGUAUAUUAAAUGAAAUACCAAUACCAGAUUCUAAAGGUAGAAUCCAAAGCUGAGUACUCUUUUUGUUUCUUUUUUUUUUUUUUUUGGUUGCAAUGAUAACAUUUGUAUAAAUACCAAAUUCUAGAGUUAGAAUCCAAAGCUGAGUACUCGAAAAAUAGAGAAUGGUUAUAAAGUGGAUCACAGAUUAACUUUUCCUCUAUAAUUAUAAAGUAGGGCAUCUUCUCCUUUAUUUUUUUUAUCAUUUUUUUUAAAAAAUUUUAUCACUUAAUUCGCCUUAGCUACAACCAUAUUGUGUAUCUUUGCCUGCCUAUAUAUACUCCGAUACUUCCGUUUGGAUUAGUUGUUGUUUGUAGUAUUUUUGAAAAAUUUUACUGUAACAGUGUAUAUGAAAAAUUUUUACAAUAAAAUUUUUUAAAAUAUUUGAUAUAUUAUAUGAAUGAGAUGUUUUUUGAGUUAUUGUAUAUUACUGUAAUAUUGUAUUUUAAAAAAUUAUUUUUGAAAAAAUGACCAAUCCAAACAAAAAUUUAAAAUUAAACACGUCACAGGGUCAUGUAGAUAACCCAAGGAAGAUUAAGCUUUAAAAUAUCGAACAUAAAAAUAUCAACUCUUUUUCUUUAUUUUUUCCCCUCUUGAUGAACUGAAAAACGUCUUGAUUUCGGCAUAUCUAUGCAGUUGAGGCACGAGGUCAAAGAAUUCACAUGGUUUGUCAAUCUUUGGUGCCUUUACAUUCGAAAACGAGCAGGCCCCAAACAAGUUUUCAUGCCCCAAACAAGUUUUCAUGUUCAGAUUUCGUUGUAAAAUUACGAACGCAAUUUGAAGCCUCGUAUGUGCUUGUUUUGUCAAGCACAGAAAGCACAGAAUUAGCAAUUCUUUUAAAGACCUCACCUUGUAAAAGAUUCUGUAUACAACAAUCAAUUUCACUAAAAGACUAAGCUAACAGAGAAAACAUGCUGGAAGCAGCAAAAUAAUCUACAACAGCUUGUCAAAAGAGUGCUGCAGAACGUUAAUGAUUGUCCUCAGACAACAUUCAUGGUAGAGGCAGGGGUGGUUUCCACUUGCCAAACUCCACCAAAUUCCUAUUGAUUAUAGUUCCA